Carcharodon carcharias (great white shark) is the source of this 2945-nucleotide long non-coding RNA. RefSeq lists it as uncharacterized. The transcript is spliced from 4 exons. The record is from RefSeq and is a predicted model, not a curated record. Lineage: Eukaryota; Metazoa; Chordata; Chondrichthyes; Lamniformes; Lamnidae.
CAGGCUGAGGCCUGUUGUGAGGCUGGUGAUCGUGGUUUCGGGUGGGUGGGGGCUGUCCUGGGCCUUGGGGAUGCUGUUGUGGGCGGGCGAGGCCUAGGCUGAGGUCUACGUCUACGGAGGCUGCUUUUCCCAUUUGAUCCUGUGAGCUGACAGGAGGACUCGGCAAAAUCAGCUGCCACUGUGAACCUGAUAGCUUCUCCACAUCACUGUUUUCUCUUCCUUUAUGCCAGGCACCAAAGAUGUCUAAAAAUGUAUGGAUGCAAUUUAUACAGACCAGGGAUGGAGACACCAUUAACCCGAUGGUGCAGCGCCCAUUCUACCCAUCGUUUCCUAGUUUCUUUUCCAGUUUACACCGAGACUGAAUCACGACAAAGGCACCGCCCAGAAAGCCCCAAGGUUGACCCUGGGGAGCAUGUGCAUUCUUAGUGGCCAGAGAAAUGAGCUGGUUGGAUAGAAAGGUUUGAGGUGCAGGGAAUUGUGGAAACUGCACCACCAUUAUUUAGCGGCUGUUGGAUAUUAGAAGGGGAGAAUUUGCAGAUGGCAAACUCAAACCAAAGAUCAUUUCAAGAUGGACAGAGCCGUUCAGUUCAUCAGGAUCUGAAUAUCAUCAGCCAUUGAAUGUGGCAGAAAAGAUGUUUGUCUGCUCUAUCUGUAAGAAAAGUACUGAAACACACACAACUGAGUGAGAGAGUGUUCCAAUGCACUGACUGUGGAAAGAGUUUUAACCAGCCAUGUGUGCCAUUUAUCGCAGGGAUAAACUGUCUUGUUCUAUGUGUGAAUGAGGCUUCAACUGAUCAUCCAACCGAUAGAGAUACAAGGGCACCGCAUCAUGGAUAAACCCUGGAAAUGUGGGGACUGUGGGAAGGGAUUCAAUUACCCGUCCAAACUGGAAAUUCAUCGACGCAACCACACUGGGGAGUGGCCGUUCACCUGUUCCAUGUGUGGCAAGGGCUUUAAUUACCCAUCUGAGCUGAGAAAUCAUCGACGCAGCCAUACUGGGGAGAGGCCAUUCACUUGCUCUGUGUGCGGGAAGGGAUUUGCUCACUCCUCCAUCCUCCAGACACAUCAGCGAGUUCACACUGAUGAGAGACCAUUCAGCUGCAUUCACUGUGGGAAGGGCUUCAGGCAGUCGCCCCACCUGAUUGCACACCAGCGAGUUCACACCGGCGAGAGGCCAUUCACCUGCUCUGUUUGUGGGAAGAGAUUCACUCACUUAUCCCACCUGCUGACACACCAGCGCGUUCACACUGGGGAACGGCCAUUCACCUGCUCUGUAUGUAGGAAGGGAUUCACUCGUUCAUCCGAGCUUCUGACACACCACCGAGUUCACACCGGAGAGAGGCCAUUUAUCUGCUCUGUGUGUGAAAAGGGAUUUAAUCGAUCUUCUAACUUGCUGAGACACCAGCGAGUUCACAUGAGACUUCAGGGGUUUGAAUCUUCUCUUAUUGCUACUGUUAAUCACACCCAGGACUGAACCAUAUUCAUUCAGACAAUGUUUGUUUCUGCUGAUAUUAAUAACCUUUGUAACUGGGCUGCAGUUUAACAUUCUGUAUAUUUGGCUAAUUUUCUUCUCGUAACUUCAGUCUCCCUUAAAAAACCACUGUCUCAGAUCUUUCUCCAUAAUUUAGGGACCUGCAUCAGAAAUGAGGUUGCAACAAAAUUAUAAACUUAUACAUCAGUACUAAAUUAAUAUUUGAAACAAAAUCUACAAUUCAGUGUGUGAAAGGUUUCACUGAUUAACAUCCCCAAUUAGAAAGUGCCCAUUAGUGUUUGCUGAAAAUUCUUACUGACUUGCACAUUACAAAUAAUGGUGCCCCCAUUGUCCACCAGAAAGAAGGGGAAUGGGAAUUGUAGAGAAUCAAGAGCUCCCAACUGGCAACUCCCAUCUGGCAAAGCAUUCUCCUCAGCACAGGAACUGAGACAAGUCUAAUACAAGUAAUGGGCUGGAUUUAAUCUUUGUGAACUUGGUGCCUUGGUUUAUAUCAGACAGGAAGAGAUAAGGGUCAGUGACUGGGGUUGAUUUAUAUCACACAGGAGGAGAUUGGUGCCGGCGAAUGUGGAAUUGGUUUAUAUCAGAAUGGAGGAAAUUGGUUUCAGUGAUGGUGGGGUUUGUUUAUAUCAGACAGGAUACACUAGUUUUAAAGUUGAAAGAAUUUAAUGCAGAUAGAAAUAUCAUGUUGUUCCUUUAUAUAAAAAGGAAGAUAGAACAAACCCAGUCAAUCAUAGAUCAGCCAGUUUAAUGAUGUUGGUAUGAAAAACAAUGAUAUCUGUACUCAAAGAUGUAUAGGAGUUUGAGGAAUUUGGGUGGUGUAUAAAAUAUUCAAAGCCCAAUUAUCCCAAUCUGCCAAUAGUUCAUUUUAACUCGUUGAGGUCCGAACAAGAAUUAAACCCGAUAGGUCGGACAAUAUUCUCAGAACGAAAAUUCAAAAGAAGGUUAUUCAAAAGAAUAUUAAUGAACACAGAAGAGGUCUACUUAUCAAAUCCAGAAACAGAGCUUAAGACUUCCGAUGGUUGAUCAGGCUGCAGAGUCAUAAUCUUCUUGUUAUCUCUUUGUUAGUAGCUAUGGCUAGCAAUAGGUCUGCUCUCAGACCCUGAUUUUAUCCUUUCACAUGAACAUCACACCAUUGUGGUUUCUUUAGCUCAUUGAUUGGUUCUGGCUAUUGUUAGGCUAAUUUAAUCGGUAUUUAAUUACAUAUUUAAAGAUAACAGCUUGGAUCAAAAGGACAGUUAAUGGAAAAUAAUAGUUCCUUGUUUUACUAAUCUUGAUCAGAUUGUGAACAGCGAGCUGUAUUCUUCAGCCAGGACCUGGCAGCCGUGAUGUUCCGUAUUUUAUCAAAAGUUAAAAAUAUUACUUUGGCUAAAGCAAUUCUUGCUGACACCACAACUUUCUAGAAGCACCUUAAGCUUUUACAGUGGUAAUUUUAAAAUAAAGACUCUAAUGCUUC